Molecule: ribosomal RNA, 736 nt
Filed under: Bacillus sp. CH36
Lineage: Bacteria; Bacillati; Bacillota; Bacilli; Caryophanales; Bacillaceae
Description: bacterial SSU rRNA
Rfam family: Bacterial small subunit ribosomal RNA
Source: RNAcentral
UGCAAGUCGAGCGGAUUGAUGGGAGCUUGCUCCCUGAAAUCAGCGGCGGACGGGUGAGUAACACGUGGGUAACCUGCCUGUAAGACUGGGAUAACUCCGGGAAACCGGGGCUAAUACCGGAUAGUUCUUUUCCUCGCAUGAGGAAAAGUGGAAAGGCGGCUUCGGCUGCCACUUACAGAUGGACCCGCGGCGCAUUAGCUAGUUGGUGAGGUAACGGCUCACCAAGGCAACGAUGCGUAGCCGACCUGAGAGGGUGAUCGGCCACACUGGGACUGAGACACGGCCCAGACUCCUACGGGAGGCAGCAGUAGGGAAUCUUCCGCAAUGGACGAAAGUCUGACGGAGCAACGCCGCGUGAGUGAUGAAGGUUUUCGGAUCGUAAAGCUCUGUUGUUAGGGAAGAACAAGUGCCGUUCGAAUAGGGCGGCACCUUGACGGUACCUAACCAGAAAGCCACGGCUAACUACGUGCCAGCAGCCGCGGUAAUACGUAGGUGGCAAGCGUUGUCCGGAAUUAUUGGGCGUAAAGCGCGCGCAGGCGGUCUCUUAAGUCUGAUGUGAAAGCCCACGGCUCAACCGUGGAGGGUCAUUGGAAACUGGGGGACUUGAGUACAGAAGAGGAAAGUGGAAUUCCACGUGUAGCGGUGAAAUGCGUAGAUAUGUGGAGGAACACCAGUGGCGAAGGCGACUUUCUGGUCUGUAACUGACGCUGAGGCGCGAAAGCGUGGGGAGCAAACA